GACGUAGGGUCCGAGCGUUGUCCGGAGUUACUGGGCGUAAAGGGCGCGUAGGCGGUUGUCUGCGUCCCACGUGAAAGCCCCUGGCUUAACCAGGGAGGGUCGUGGGAAACGGGGGAACUGGAGGCAGCGAGAGGUUGGUGGAAUUCCCGGAGUAGUGGUGAAAUGCGUAGAGAUCGGGAGGAACACCGGUGGCGAAGGCGGCCAACUGGCGCUGGCCUGACGCUGAGGCGCGAAGGCGUGGGGAGCGAACGGGAUUAGAUACCCCGGUAGUCCACGCAGUAAACGAUGUGGACGAGGUGUGGGGGGAGUUGACCCCCUCCGUGCCGGCGCAAACGCAGUAAGUCCACCGCCUGGGGAGUACGGCCGCAAGGCUAAA
RNAcentral lists this ribosomal RNA (376 nucleotides) under uncultured bacterium. Its description in RNAcentral is "bacterial SSU rRNA". It matches the Rfam family "Bacterial small subunit ribosomal RNA", at positions 524 to 898 of the family's 1533-position model. The record is from RNAcentral.